Molecule: long non-coding RNA, 236 nt
Filed under: Medicago truncatula (barrel medic)
Lineage: Eukaryota; Viridiplantae; Streptophyta; Magnoliopsida; Fabales; Fabaceae
Description: long non-coding RNA (MTRU_LNC002283)
Source: RNAcentral
UUUUUUUUUGUUAAUAUUACACUUUUCAUCCAAAUUAGAACUGAACUCUCUUUGUUAAAUAUCUACCACAAAAUGCACUAGAAUUUUGCAAUCUAUAUAAACAGGUGGAAGAAACAUUUCAACAAACAGUUAAAGGGUAUCAUUUACGGUAAAGGCCAAAUAUUCGAUAAAAGAAAAAUUAUUGAAAUAAAACAUUUUACAUGUUGAGGUUAAGAAUGAGCUAUUUUUAGGUACAU